UACGGAGGGUGCGAGCGUUAAUCGGAAUUACUGGGCGUAAAGCGUGCGUAGGCGGCUCGUUAAGUCAGAUGUGAAAGCCCUGGGCUCAACCUGGGAACUGCAUUUGAAACUGGCGAGCUAGAGUUUAAGAGAGGUAAGUGGAAUUUCAGGUGUAGCGGUGAAAUGCGUAGAGAUCUGAAGGAACACCAGUGGCGAAGGCGACUUACUGGCUUAAAACUGACGCUGAGGUACGAAAGCGUGGGUAGCAAACAGG
RNAcentral lists this ribosomal RNA (253 nucleotides) under uncultured Methylococcales bacterium. Its description in RNAcentral is "partial 16S ribosomal RNA". It matches the Rfam family "Bacterial small subunit ribosomal RNA", at positions 524 to 776 of the family's 1533-position model. Lineage: Bacteria; Pseudomonadati; Pseudomonadota; Gammaproteobacteria; Methylococcales. The record is from RNAcentral.